RNAcentral lists this ribosomal RNA (693 nucleotides) under uncultured prokaryote. RNAcentral's name for it is "bacterial SSU rRNA". It matches the Rfam family "Bacterial small subunit ribosomal RNA", at positions 789 to 1482 of the family's 1533-position model. The record is from RNAcentral.
GGUAGNCCACGCUGUAAACGAUGUCGACUUGGAGGUUGUGCCCUUGAGGCGUGGCUUCCGGAGCUAACGCGUUAAGUCGACCGCCUGGGGAGUACGGCCGCAAGGUUAAAACUCAAAUGAAUUGACGGGGGCCCGCACAAGCGGUGGAGCAUGUGGUUUAAUUCGAUGCAACGCGAAGAACCUUACCUACUCUUGACAUCCACGGAACUUGCCAGAGAUGGCUUGGUGCCUUCGGGAACCGUGAGACAGGUGCUGCAUGGCUGUCGUCAGCUCGUGUUGUGAAAUGUUGGGUUAAGUCCCGCAACGAGCGCAACCCUUAUCCUUUGUUGCCAGCACUUCGGGUGGGAACUCAAAGGAGACUGCCGGUGAUAAACCGGAGGAAGGUGGGGAUGACGUCAAGUCAUCAUGGCCCUUACGAGUAGGGCUACACACGUGCUACAAUGGCGUAUACAAAGAGAAGCAAACUCGCGAGAGCCAGCGGACCUCAUAAAGUACGUCGUAGUCCGGAUUGGAGUCUGCAACUCGACUCCAUGAAGUCGGAAUCGCUAGUAAUCGUAGAUCAGAAUGCUACGGUGAAUACGUUCCCGGGCCUUGUACACACCGCCCGUCACACCAUGGGGGUGGGUUGCAAAAGAAGUAGGUAGCUUAACCUUCGGGAGGGCGCUUACCACUUUGUGAUUCAUGACUGGGGUG